RNAcentral lists this ribosomal RNA (198 nucleotides) under Triticum aestivum (bread wheat). Its description in RNAcentral is "partial small subunit ribosomal RNA". Lineage: Eukaryota; Viridiplantae; Streptophyta; Magnoliopsida; Poales; Poaceae. The record is from RNAcentral.
AUGGCGCCCCUACCUGCAGCACGGAGAAUUUAUAAUUUAUACAGAUCAGAAAAGUCUCAUUCACCUCGAAGAGCAACGCCUCUCGACCCCGUGGCAAAAGAAAGCAUUCACCAAAUUAUUGGGGCUGCAAUAUACCAUCAGAUACAAGAAGGGAAAGGAGAUUACAGCAGCGGAUGCUCUAUCUCGCUCCAAACCUGA